GGGCCGUUAGCUCAGUUGGUAGAGCAGCUGACUCUUAAUCAGCGGGUCGCAGGUUCGAGCCCUGCACGGCUCA
This 73-nucleotide transfer RNA is filed under the name Acidobacteriota bacterium. Its description in RNAcentral is "tRNA-Lys". It matches the Rfam family "tRNA". Rfam says of the family: Transfer RNA (tRNA) molecules are approximately 80 nucleotides in length. Their secondary structure includes four short double-helical elements and three loops (D, anti-codon, and T loops). Further hydrogen bonds mediate the characteristic L-shaped molecular structure. tRNAs have two regions of fundamental functional importance: the anti-codon, which is responsible for specific mRNA codon recognition, and the 3' end, to which the tRNAs corresponding amino acid is attached (by aminoacyl-tRNA synthetases). tRNAs cope with the degeneracy of the genetic code in two manners: having more than one tRNA (with a specific anti-codon) for a particular amino acid; and 'wobble' base-pairing, i.e. permitting non-standard base-pairing at the 3rd anti-codon position. Lineage: Bacteria; Pseudomonadati; Acidobacteriota. RNAcentral also lists the same sequence under 2 other names. The record is from RNAcentral.